GACGAACGCUGGCGGCGUGCCUAAUACAUGCAAGUAGAACGCUGAAGGGAGGAGCUUGCUCUUCUUGGGUGAGUUGCGAACGGGUGAGUAACGCGUAGGUAACCUGCCUUGUAGCGGGGGAUAACUAUGGGAAACGAUAGCUAAUACCGCAUAACAAUGGAUGACACAUGGCAUUUAUGUGAAAGGGGCAAUUGCUCCACUACAAGAUGGACCUGCGUUGUAUUAGCUAGUAGGUGAGGUAAUGGCUCACCUAGGCGACGAUACAUAGCCGACCUGAGAGGGUGGUCGGCCCCCCUGGGACUGGGACCCGGCCCAGACUCCUUCGGGAGGCAGCAGUAGGGAAUCUUCGGCAAUGGGGGCAACCCUUACCGAGCAACGCCGCGUGAGUGAAGAAGGUUUUCGGAUCGUAAAGCUCUGUUGUAAGUCAAGAACGGGUGUGAGAGUGGAAAGUUCACACUGUGACGGUAGCUUACCAGAAAGGGACGGCUAACUACGUG
This 497-nucleotide ribosomal RNA is filed under the name uncultured bacterium. RNAcentral's name for it is "partial 16S ribosomal RNA". It matches the Rfam family "Bacterial small subunit ribosomal RNA", at positions 28 to 507 of the family's 1533-position model. The record is from RNAcentral.